CUCUCCACCUGUGUCCCCUCCCUGCUCUAUAUGGAGAAGGGAUUAAUAUUCAGAGAACCUGGCUAAAGAUUCUGGUUUGCUGACUGAGUUCUCCUCCUCCGAGUGUGUUAAAAAGGAUGACCAAAUGUCUAAAAACCUAUCCUCUUUCUGGAGUUUCUCUUGUAAAGAAGCAGAAUCAUCUAUUACAUGACCUCGGUUCUGGCAGAUAAGGCUCUUUACCAGCCACUGCUUGCAGAAGCUGUGGGCACAAAUUAGGACAAGCACUUGUGGGAAUAACAGCUCCCAACACACCAGACUGCUGAACCCUUUGAGGAAAAACCCCUCCUAAGAAUCCAGCCACAACAAUCCAUUUCCUUCACCGUCCAAGUUCUGGAACACUCCUGAAACCUCUGUGUCAGCAGCUCCAUGGCAACAAGUUCUACUUCAACAGUUUCCUUGUAAUCACUGCAGAACCAUGCACCUCUGGCUUUCAGAACAGCUAAGAUAGGGCACUAAUGUUUAGUGGGGCUCACGUCUCUGAUCACACCCAUCAUGUUCGGCAAUCUCAUAUGUGGUGCUUUCUGGCAAGAAUGUAGAAAUCACAUCAGAUCUUUUUGUAUCUUCUGGUAAGACCCAUAGCAGCAGAGACCAAUGCUUAAAUGUAUGUUUUAAAAAGCCAAAAGAGAGACACUCUUGCUACAGCAUUUCAUGUAGCAUAGCGCACUAAGGAAAUUAGAGUGAAUGACAAAUGGCCAAAGGAACUUAAGGUAACUGAGCCCUUUUGUACAUAGUAGUAUUACAUAUCUA
Molecule: long non-coding RNA, 786 nt
Organism: Trachemys scripta elegans
Lineage: Eukaryota; Metazoa; Chordata; Testudines; Emydidae
Exons: 3
Source: RefSeq, a predicted model, not a curated record